Pangasianodon gigas (Mekong giant catfish) is the source of this 88-nucleotide non-coding RNA. NCBI's taxonomy places the organism in Eukaryota, Metazoa, Chordata, Actinopteri, Siluriformes, Pangasiidae. The record is from the annotation of a GenBank genome assembly.
UAGCUCCCACAGAAGAAAAAAGAGCAGAGUGCCAUAUGGUAGUUAAAAAAAAAAAAAAAAAAAAAAAAAAAAAAAAAAAAAAAAAAAA